GAUGAACGCUAGCUACAGGCCUAACACAUGCAAGUCGAGGGGCAGCAUGGCUGAAGCUUGCUUCAGCCGAUGGCGACCGGCGCACGGGUGAGUAACGCGUAUCCAACCUGCCGCAUACCCGGGGAUAGCCUUUCGAAAGAAAGAUUAAUACCCGAUAGUUUGUGAAUUCCGCAUGGGGGUCACAAUAAAGAUUCAUCGGUAUGCGCUGGGGAUGCGUUCCAUUAGAUAGUAGGCGGGGUAACGGCCCACCUAGUCAACGAUGGAUAGGGGUUCUGAGAGGAAGGUCCCCCACAUUGGAACUGAGACACGGUCCAAACUCCUACGGGAGGCAGCAGUGAGGAAUAUUGGUCAAUGGACGAGAGUCUGAACCAGCCAAGUAGCGUGAAGGAAUACGGCCCUAUGGGUUUUAAACUUCUUUUAUAAGGGAAUAAAGUCAUCCACGUGUGGGUGUUUGUAUGUACCUUAUGAAUAAGCAUCGGCUAACUCCGUGCCAGCAGCCGCGGUAAUACGGAGGAUGCGAGCGUUAUCCGGAUUUAUUGGGUUUAAAGGGAGCGUAGACGGGUCGUUAAGUCAGCUGUGAAAGUUUGGGGCUCAACCUUAAAAUUGCAGUUGAUACUGGCGUCCUUGAGUACGGUUGAGGCAGGCGGAAUUCGUGGUGUAGCGGUGAAAUGCUUAGAUAUCACGAAGAACCCCGAUUGCGAAGGCAGCCUGCUAAGCCGCGACUGACGUUGAGGCUCGAAAGUGUGGGUAUCAAACAGGAUUAGAUACCCUGGUAGUCC
RNAcentral lists this ribosomal RNA (779 nucleotides) under uncultured bacterium. RNAcentral describes it as "bacterial SSU rRNA". It matches the Rfam family "Bacterial small subunit ribosomal RNA", at positions 28 to 796 of the family's 1533-position model. The record is from RNAcentral.